AAUCUGCCCAUGAUCUUCACAACACAAUUUGAGUCCAGCGGAUGUGCAAAAUCAUCCGCAAGCUAGUUUCAAGUUUCAACAUUCAACUUUUUUGUAACCUACGUCUAUGUGUCAUACCUUCUCGCAUCAUCUUUGUAUCUAAAAUUUUCAGCGACUCAACCUCGGAAACAAGCGAGUCAACAACUCGUUCUUCGUUCUCAGUAGUCACCGUCGACUCCUCGGGGUUUUUAAUUAAAUACCCUUUAAUAGUUUUAAAAUUAUUUAAAUACCCCCUCCCUUUUUGGUUUUCAUGGAUACCCUAACAAAUGUGAGCAAAGUCGGAAAUACCCUUAAUGAAUGCAUCAAAUGCACUCAAUGAAUUGUCUUCAUAUUUCUUUCCUCAUUUCUUUCACUUAAAUCUAUUUUUGCUGCCGAUUCUUUCAAAAUCUCUUAGAAUCUCUCAAAAUCUCUCAUAACUUCUUACACAAAUACAAUUAUGUAUUCAUUUCUUUAACACCCACUCUUUCUUUAAAGGUGCAUUGCUUAUUAAACAACCCAAUAAGGUAUGUUAAUGUUGUUGGGUUUUAAAUUUUUUAAUUUUUAGGAAAAUUUAGAAAUUUUCCUCACAUUACAAUAUUUUAUUUUCACCAUUUUUUCUUAUACGUAGAAAUAUAUGCAAUGUAGGUUGUUUAAUUAUAUUUUUCAGCAAUAUAACUUAUUUAUGGCGAAAAUAUUUCGAGUCGUGCAUUCUUUUGAUACCGUGUACGUCAUAUAGUUAGUCGUGUAAGUAAUAUAGUCGUGUAAGUCGUGUAGGUCAUGUAAGAAAUAUAGUCGUGUAGGUCAUGUAAGAAAUAUAGUCGUGUAAGUCGUGUAGGUCAUGUAGGUCGUGUAGUUACUUGUAUAUGAAAUUUAAUAUUAUUGUUUUUAUUGUAUUAUCAGAUAUGGUUUUGGUACGCGUGUCUAUUCUCUUCAAUGGUGAAUGAAUUAAACAAAAUGACGAGUAUAAGUUCAAAAGUUCAAAGGCUAAAGGGAUAAUGAUACCACGAUCGACAACAUAUGCCGCAUUGGUGGAGAAGAUAGCUGAAGUUAUUGAUAUAGAUACUUCGGAAUUCAAAAUCACAAUGAAGUUCAAACUUAAGACAUCUGAUCCUAUGCCACCAGUUACAAUUCAAACCAAUGAUAAUUUGGAAUUUUUUUAAAUUCCAAUUUAAUUUCACUUCUUUUUUUAAUAAUUUUCAUUGACAUUUUCUGCAUAGCAGCAAAUAUAAAUUCUUAGCACAAAUUAAGUCUUUAAAGAACUAAAUUAAUCUAAUGAUUAAUGGAAAAUUCGUGUAAUUUUAAAGUCGCAAUUAAACAUAUUACAGCCAUUUAAAAAGUUUUUUUCUUUUUUUUUUUUUAUCUUCAAAGUGCUUUCUUCCUCUGGCCAAGCAUACAAGCAUACAUGAGGAAUGCUUGCAUAUAAUUAAUCCAUGAAAUCAAUUAAGAAAAAAAAUAUCAGCUAUAGGAAAUUAAUGUAAUGUUAUACACAUAAAAACACCAUUCGCAGUGAUAAAAUAUUUUCACUCAUAACUAGACAUAUCAUGACUUACCAUGACUUAUAAUUGGAAAUUAAGAAUCUCUCUAACUAAUGACAUUUCACAAGGUAAAGGUAUAUGUACAAUUCCAAUUUAUUGUGAGCCUAAUUAAACUAAAUGUAAUAUGCAGAUUCUAUUGACAAGAAACAAAAUGUGGAAUUGAAGGUCGUGUAAUUGUGUAAUACAAGAAGAUCGUAUAAUUGUAUAAUACAUGAAGGUCGUAUAAACAUGCAAUACAUGAAGGUCGUGUAAACGUGUAAUACAUGAAGGUCGUGUAAUCGUGCAAUACAUGAAGGUCGUGUAAUCGUGCAAUACAUGAAGGUCGUGUAAAACACAACCUUGAAUCUUACAUAACCUUACACGACCAAAUCUUAUAUUACAUAACAAAAUUAUAAUCAGCACAAUCCAUUAAUUUUUCACAAUUUGCAUGCAGCAAAACAACUAGAAAUUUGUUUUCGAACAUGUUAUGAGAGACCCACAACUAAUUAAUCUAUUUUUUCAAUAUAAAACCCUAACUUUUUAUUUUUUUCCCUUGAAUAGUAACAAGAAAACUAAUUACAUGGAAUUACUUGUCUCAACUAGUUACAUUCUGACAAUUUUGCAGUAAAUGAUCAACUCUCUCCGGCGAUUAUGUAGUGACGAACUAUGCUUCACUUUCUCAGUUGUGGCAGCUUCUCCUUCUCAGGCUUAGUUUGCUCGUGUUGAAGUUCGAUUUACCAUAUAUGGAGAAUGAAUGUUUGUUUCAGUAGAGGUGAUGUCAGUGAGGGAAUUGCAGUGUUUGUUUGUUUGAGUUUGAUAAUUGAGGGAAUUGCAGCAGAUGAGUAUUUGUUUGCUUCAGUAGAGAAGGGAGAGGUGCUGUCCGUUGAGUUGAAAUGUUUUAAAAUGAGGAUAACUUAGUAAUUUCCUAUCCGUUUUGAAAGGGUAUCGAUGAAAAUUUCGGCAAAAAUAGAUUUUAGGGUAUUGAGAUAAUUUUUGAAGUAUGGAGGUGUACCGGGCGCAAUUGGCUCCGACUCCUCCUCCUUCUCUUCGCUAACACCACUUCCGAGAUGGACUGAGUCAACUCGGUCCUUGAUGAUGGCCUCAGAUUUUAUCAAAUUAGUUUCUUUUUCUCUCUGAUUUCGAGAAAGUUUGUACCUUGUCUCUCCGGAGUUAUUAAUAUCAGUUCGGCGGUUGGGGAUAGAACGGCAUCGUAGAGUGGAGGUGGUUUCUUUGUAUUCUGACGUGGAUUGAUCUGAUUGGUCGGCGGGAAUGCAGUCGUAAGAGGGAAAAUCGUCGAGCGUAUCAAAGAAUUCGUCGUCCUCAUCGUUGGUUUUAUUCCGUUCGUCCAUUCAGCAACCAGAGACUGGGGUUUCAGUUUCCGGUUAUCGCUUAUCAGGAUCGAAUUUGCUUGCAAUUCACCGUGUUUGCAGCCUUCGUGUCAUCAUUUUUUUUUUGGUUCGGUUAAUAACAUUUGCAUCCCUAAUUUUUAACCAUUUCUCAUGAAUAUAUAUAUUUUUUCUUUUUAGCUCAAAAUGUCGUAUAUUCUUUCUAACACAUUAAACUUUUUUCUUUUCAAUUUUUUUUAAAUAACCUUUGCAAUAUUCAACUUUACCAUUAGUAAUUGUUUGUGACUUAGGGGCCUUAUGCUUCUUUUGAUUUGCUGACUUAAUUAACUUAAUUUUAAUCAAUUAAGGUAUUAAGUCUUUUUAUUUUUAAUUUAAUGAAAAUUUUUAAGUCAAUUCUUUUUUACUUUUUACUUAAUCUAAAGACUAAAAAGUCUGGAUAUUAUCAUUAAAAGAUAUUCUCCAAAAUAUUUCUAUUUAAUUUAUUAAUUUUUAUCUUUACCUAAAUUAAAUUUUAAUAAUUAACAUUAUUACACGUUUCUAUAACUUGUGAUAAUAUAAUGGUAGACUAUUAUUGUUUUUAUCUUUUUAUUUUCUUCUAGUUAGCAUUAUUUUUCUUCAUAAUUUUUAUGAAUAUUUUUCAUAUAAAAACAUCAUAAACUAUAAUGAUGUAUACUAAUUUAGAAUAUUAAUUUAUAAGUGCACAAAUGUAAAAAAUACUUGUUUUUAGAUUUUUUAAGUUAAAAAAAUAACUUAAUAUUUUUUUUAGAGAUUCGAACAAAAAAUAAAUAUAUUAUUAGAUUCAAACAUUCAGCUUUAUUAAGAUUCAGACUAAUUCAAGUUUAUUCAAUUUUUUUAGAUAAAAAAAUAAACACCACCUUAGGCUUUAAGUAUACUUUUAUUAUUUUAAUAAGAGUUUAGAUAAUCAGGCAUGUAAUACAAUAAGAACUCAUAUGACCUAUAAUGUGUGUAUAUAUAUAAUCAUUCUCUAAUGAGGCAUCCUUAUUUUGAUAAAGUGAGGAUGUGACUAAUAAAUAAAAUAUAAAUUUCAAUAUACUAAGAGAUAAAAAAAUAUAGAUUUUAAUAAAUUAGAAAUUAUAUUUUUUAUAUUUUAGUGACAUUUUUAUUUUAACAAAAUGAGAAUAUCCUUAUUAAAGAGUAUUUAUAUAUAUAUAUAGAGAGAGAGAGAGAGAGAGAGAGAGAGAGAGAGAGAGAGAAAAUUGUAAGGGAGAGAAGAUUUAUGAACGAAAUAUUCUAGUUGCACUAUAAAAUAAAUAAAUAAAUAAUAUAUAUAUAUAUAUAUAUAUCUAAAAUCUACCAUCCUAAUAGAUUUCAAGUUGUAAUAAAUCCGAAAUUGUAAUCGUUGAAAAGAAAAAUGGUUUGGGACCUUUUUAAUACAAACGGAGAACCAAUAUCCUUUUCCGUGAGAUUUGAGAAACAAGAAUAGCAAACAAGAAAUCAGCUUAUUGUCAUUAUCUGGCUACGCACGAUAUAGGAUCCGGCGGGAAUCGCCAAUCGCCCAUCAUAUACAUACAUUUGUUUUGCAAAUGUAUCUUUCAUCAUUGAAACUAAAUAGUGAAUAAUUAUUUUCUUUCUUUAAUGGGAAAAAGAAAGAAGAGAAAGUUCUUUGCAUGAACAUAAAAAUCUCCAAGUCCACUAAGAAAUGUACUUACAAAAAUAAAAGUCUACUGAGAAAUGUAAAACCAAAAAUUUAUCUUCAAACUAGAGAAAAUUUUUCAAACAACCAAUAGUUAAUGCGCGUAUUUUGUGAAAGAUAGCCAAUGGGAAUGGGAGGUAACGUAAUCAAAUAAUUUAUUGAUUUAUUCAAGUCAUCAAUAUCAAAGUGAGACAUCCAUUUCCAAUUGGAAGAAAAAAAACCAUAUUUUAAUUGCCAAACCGGCGUGGAUUUCUCUCUCUCUCUUUAAGGUCCAAUUAACACACUAAUUAAGUUCAGAUUGUAUAUGGACAUCUGUGACUAAUUGGUUAAUUGAUUCAUUAAACUAUAUCUCUAUAAUCUUUUCUAUCCAUAUUCCAUUCUAAUGUUGCAAUGACAUAUAUAUAAAUAUAUAUAUAUAUAUUGUGUGUGUAUAAGGAAAUUUAAUUAAUUUCGUAACACAUGCAUUAUUGCAUUAAAAUAAUAGUCACUGUUGCCUCAAUUUCGAUGGUCAAAAGCAAAAUAUUUAAAGCAGAAUCCUACAGUUUGACCAUGCAAAAAACCAAUGAAAAUUCAAAUAUCGGGGGUUCCUAUACUAAUAGUUGCGAAUGGGACCAACAAUUCAUAUCUUUCAUUAACCUGUAAGGUGGAAAAAUCCAUAUCGGCGAUUAAUUAAUCAGACAUGCUGCGGAUGAGGUUUAAUGAGAAUCUUAGCAUUGGCAGGAAGUCAACCAUGUGCCGAGACAAUAUUUUUAUUAAAAUAAUGCACUUGGCUUGGAUACAAUUCAGAAUAUGACAAAAACAAAUCUAACUUUAGUUUGACUGGUACUGCAUUCUAAAAUCGUACCAGGACGAAAGACAAAAUCACAUUAGAAGGGUAGUUGGAAUUUUCUUAAUCGAGCUAUUUGCUUGGAAGAUUCAUCAUCCCUGCAUUUAGCAAAUAUAAAAGAAUCGCAAGAUUAUUAAAACAACGUAGUAAUAACAGCUCAUCAGAAGAUCCGUACGGUACAACAAGGAAACAGGGUAGAAUUGAAAGAUAGCUCAUAGCUCAUACCUCACGGCUAGCUUUUCUGGGUCUUCAAAGAUGUCCUUCUUGAAGCUUGACCUGCUCCUUGUCUCAAUUCUGUCUGUAAGCUGCUUAUGGACACAAGUACUUGUUUCUGCUACUCUGCCUCGAGCUGAAGGUUCGGCUGAUAAAAUUUUCUUUUUAUUUUCAAUAUCCCCUUCUUCAUGAUAUCUUGUAACCAGUUGUAGCUUAUGUUUCAUUUCUCUCUCUCUCUCUCUCUCUCUCUCUCUCUCUCUCGGUAUUAGUAGUGUAUUAUUCUCAGAAAUAAAGAAUAAAACAUUGUUAAGAGCCUAAGAUGAUAAUUGAAUUGAGGAUCAGCGAUCUUACAAUGGUCAGAUUAGUGACAUUCAUAAUAUUAUUAAAAAAAUUAAAAAUAGAACUUCAAAAUUUGGUGACUGGUCGAAUUCAGAACUGUUAUUUUCACCAAGUUCUGAUGUUUAAUUGAGAGAUGCUUCUUUGUGCAUGUAGUUGAUGCGCUCAAUCAAAUUGCCAAAACAAUGGGAGCUAGGGACUGGACGUUUGAUGCUAAUGCUUGUGACCUGAAUGAGACACCAAUAGUGCUGGAAGAAGGUCCCACCAGGAUCAUUACUUGCAACCUUGGAAUCGAUAAUACAAGCCACAUUACUGAAAUGUAGGUUCUUUUUUUGUCAUUUUAUAAAAUUUGAACCGGCAUAUUUUUAUUUUUCAGUUUUGUGUUUAGGUUGAUGUGAAGGACCAAUUUUGGGUAUCUUUUGUUUUCCAUUUUCAGACAAUUCAAACGUUGCAACCUUUCUGGAACACUUCCACGAGAAUUGGUCCAGCUUCCUUCCAUCCAGAAAGUGUGAGUUGAAUAGUCUCUAAUCUAAUGCAUUGGGAGAUUAAACUUAUAAAUAAAUUAAUCAUUUUUGUUAAUUUGCAGUGAUUUUGCCUACAACUACCUAAAUGGUUCCAUACCAGUCGAAUGGGCUUUGUUGCAGUUGAAGUUCAUGUAAGCUAUAUCUAAUUCUCUCUAAUCAGGUUAAGCAGUUAGCAUUCUACUUGUUUCAUAGAGUUAAUUGAUCGUCAAUAAUCUUAAUGCAGCUCUGUUUUUGGAAACCGGUUAUCAGGCAAUAUUCCAAGCCAUUUGGCGAACAUUACCAGUCUCACGUACUUGUAAGCUAUCAAUUCUUGGUUUAUGCAAACAUAUUUAGGCCACUGAUGUAAAUGAUAACUAAUUUAUUCCCUUUGUAAUCUGAAUGGGUCUAAUUUGCCAGGGACAUUGAAGCAAACCAAUUCUCGGGAACCGUACCUGAGGAGUUCAGGAAAUUAGUAAACUUGGAAACUCUGUAAGGCAUUGUCAAGCUUUUUUGUGGCUGAUAUUUGUUCAUGAUCAAUGUAAUCAUUUGGACCAUAAAUUGUCAUGGUUACAGGAGACUGUCCUCCAAUCAGUUGAGUGGAAGUUUGCCGACGGGACUAGCUGAGCUAAAAAAUUUAACUAACUUGUAAGCCUUCUUGAUUAGUGUCAGAUCAUGCUCAAAAUUUAUCAGAGGUAUAAGCUGUACUCAUUCUCAUUGCACAUUGCAGUAGGAUCAGCGACAACAACUUCAAUGGGAGUAUACCAGAAUUUAUACAAAACUGGAAGCAACUUGAGAGACUGUACGAUCAUCUACAUUACAAAGAUUUCUCAUCUUACAUUCUGGUUCUUGAUUGUUCUUGAUUUGUUAAUUUGAGUUGAUGCAGAGAAAUGCAAGGUAGUGGAUUCGAUGGACCCAUUCCGUCAUCCAUCUCUGUCUUGGAAAAUCUGAAACAAUUGUGAGUAAAUAUUUCUCUACUUGUCAAUUACAAUAAUCAGAAUGAUUUAAUACAUCAAUUUAUAUGAUUAAUUUAUUAUAUUUAACGAUACUAAAAGGAUCUGUUAAUUAUGGCACUCUAACAGGAGGAUUAGUGACAUAGCUGGAACAAAUCAUCUUUUUCCGGAUCUUAGAAAAAUGGCAGGCAUUAAAAGGAUGUAUGCUCAUUGGCUAUUUUCUAUCAUUUUGAUGGAGUAUGAUUAUUCGCCUUAUAAUUAUCUUACAGGAUUAAUGUUGGAUUUUCAGAAUUUUGAGAAACUGUGGUAUUUCUGGGGAGUUUCCUGAAUAUAUCUGGCGAAUGAAUAAUCUGCGAAUUUUGUAAGUAUGCUACAUUCUUUGUUUUCUAAUGCAGAAAUUAAAUACUUGAAAAUGAAAGCAAAAUUCCGGGUUUACAUUCAUGAAAAGUAACACCAACUAGUAAUGUAGUAUUCUUCUAUACCUUGCAGCUGCCAUAGCAGCAAUAGAGUUGAAGCAUCAGCACUUACAGGCCAGUUAAUGUAUUUACAUGGAUAAUCAUUAUCUUUUGAAUUUGGUUUGGACAGGGAUCUCAGUUUUAAUAGGCUAACCGGGAAAAUUCCCAAUGUUGCAACUCCACCGAGUUUGAAAUUCAUGUAAGUUAAUGAAAUCAACUGUCUGGAUUUACAAUGUUAAUUAUGUGAUGUCCAACUCAUUAACCACCUGAUACGGCCUUGGUCAGCUUUCUAACUGGCAACUUUCUCAGCGGGAACAUACCAGCGUCGAUCUUGAGGAAAGGAACUAAUGUGUGUGUAUCUUAUCACCUGGAUGCCUUGAGUUUUACUUAUUUUAGUGAUUUAUGUUCAUAUAUAUUUGCAAUCUGUUGAUUUACUAUAUAGUAACCAUAUGUAACUUUGUAAUCCUGUUUCUAAAGAGACCAUAUUAAACAUCAAUUUUGUUAAAUAAAUAAUCUUAUGCAUGAAAUUUCCUUCAUUGCUUCUUUCUUGCAUGCAGGGAUCUGUCAUAUAAUAAUUUCACUCAUCAAAACCCUGAGCAGCCUGCUUGUCGGGAGAUACAGUCAGUAUAUUUCCCUCUCUAUGUUAAAUAAAUAAUCUUCUCCGCUUGUAAUAUCACUUGGUAUAUCUGAGUGCUGAUAUUUGCUUUGUCUCCCGUUAUUUCGUUAGGAAUCUAAAUCUGAACCUGUUCCGAAGUUCUUCUGGGCACAGCAAUUUGUAUGUUGCUUUUCAUGCUUUCUUAUUAUUGUAGCUUAUGUGACAGAUUUAACAACCAAUGUAUAAAGAAGUUUUAAAAAUAUACAGUCAUUUUAUCAUCCAAUAAAUAAGAAGCAACGUGUAUUUUUAGAUUAGACAAUGUAAUGUCUACUAAUAUUCUCUUUUUCCUUGACUAAAAACCAGAAGUGGAGUUCUUCCAUGUAAGAAUAAUUUCAAAUGCGAUCGAUGUAAGUAUACUCUACUAUCAGUAAGUCACCAUAAAAUCUAUAUCUCGAAUAUGUUGACUUUUAGAAUCACAAAUAGUUGGUAGCCUAGCUAUUAAUAAUAUCAUAUUCAAAUCAACUUCAAUUCUUCUGUUUAUUUUUUAAUUGUCAGUUCAUUUCUGGUUUCUUGAAAACUCAUUGCUCAGAUAGUCUUUAACAUUCUUUUUUCUCGGCAGAUUGGCACUCACUGCACAUUAAUUGUGGUGGAAAUGAAGUAAAAGUAAAUGGCAGCACAUUUGAAGGAGAUGGACAAAUUGGUGGUGGUGCUGCAACAUACCAUUCAGAAGAUGAUACUAACUGGGGUUUUAGUAGCAGUGGAGACUUCACUGAUGAUGAUGAUGAACAAAACAGACGUUACAUUGCAACUCCUGACUCAUCAAACCUUUCUGAACUAUACAUUAAUGCACGCAUUGCUCCUCUUUCACUUACUUACUUUGGAUAUUGUUUAGACAACGGAAAUUAUACUUUGAGUCUACACUUUGCGGAGGUCCAGUUCAGUAAUGGAAUUACAUUUCACAGCCUGGGAAGGCGUCUAUUUGAUAUUUAUAUUCAGGUAAUUAAUCAGAAUCAGGAAAUAGAUUUUCAUCGGACACAUUUCUCUCUGUGAGUUCUUGGGAGACAGUUGUGCUAUUGAGUAAUAUGAUGGAUGAUUCUCAAUAUGUUUCUCUGGAUUGUCUUGUUUCAGGACAAACAAGUUGAGAGGAAUUUCGAUAUAAAAGCUGAAGCUUCUGGGGCUCUUAAGCCAGUUGCAAGAUCCUAUAAUGUCACUGUUACAAAUCACAUUAUAGAGAUCCGUUUCCAUUGGGCUGGAAAAGGGACUACGGCACUUCCUAAAAGGGGAGUUUAUGGCCCCCUAGUAUCAGCUAUUUCAUUGAAUGACCCCAGUGAGUCCUUUUCAUCCCUUAUUCUGUUUUCAAAAUCGACUAACAUUAUAAUACGUUGCGAAGUCCGGAUUUUUAGUAACACAAUUUCAAAUGUUCUUUUUUGAAGUUUAACUCUCUACGAUUGUACAUUAGAAAAAAACCAAAAUUCAGAUAUUUAGUUUGUUUGCAGCCAUUUUCUUACAUAUCCAUUUUAUGUGAAAGGAAAAAGAAAAUCUCCAUAAGUUAUUAAGCCUAUCAAUGUAGUUUUGAAUUUUUUUUCAUGCCCACACGUUUCUGUAAUGCAUUCGUUCCAUGUUUUCACAUGCUUCUGAUAAUCCUGCUUCAUGGAUUCUCCUUGGCAGACUUCAAACCUGAAAAGAAGAAGGUAGUGCCGAUUGUUGUUGGAGUAGUUGCAGGAUUAUCUCUCAUAAUCUUGGCGUUCGGUAUCCUCGGUUGGAGGUACUAUUUGAGAACCAAGAGGCGCAAAGAAAGAGGUGUGGGCUUCUUUUAGAUAAAAAUUAAAAAAUGCUUCAGUUUGCUACUCAACAUUUAUUCACAAUCAUUUUCUUUUUCAUUAUAAUAAUCAAAAUAGUAUCUUUAUAACAGCAUUAACUUUAUGUAAGCAUGUGAAGACAUUUAGGUUCAAACUACAUGCUGAUGCUCAUUUUGACCAUCCACAUUAAAUUUAGUAAGGAAAUAACUUAAUGAAUCCAGAAACUCAUCUAGAGGCUAAAGCACACUUGUCUCUCUUUAUUUGGACAGGUUUUAUGAAAGAGUCGGAUCUCCAAACAAUUUCUUUUACCUUAAAACAAAUUAAAGCUGCAACUAACAAUUUUGAUUCUGCAAAGAAGAUUGGAGAAGGUGGAUUUGGACCUGUGUACAAGGUAUAUUGGCCAACCUUUUGCCCCUAAUCAUCCUCUUAACACAAAAUUUCCUUCAAUGGUUACUUAAAAUUUGUACAUUUCUUUUUUCAUAACUGGGAUGCAGGGUCAACUAGCAGAUGGUACUAUAAUUGCUGUGAAGCAACUCUCUUCAAAAUCAAGGCAGGGGAAUCGUGAAUUCUUAAAUGAGAUAGCCAUGAUUUCGUGCUUGCAACACCCAAAUCUUGUUAAAAUUCAUGGCUGUUGUGUUGAAGGGGAUCAACUCUUGCUAGUAUAUGAAUACAUGGAAAACAGCAGCCUUGCCCGUGCUUUGUUUGGUAAGUUUAGUCUAGUAAAACAAGAAGCAAAUGUUACAUACAGGUAUAUUAUGUUUCAUAUUCUGUAGGGAUGUUUCUGAUUGGAUUUGGAAUGGUUAUUGUAUUUUUAAGGUCGUGAAAACUGUGAACUGGAAUUGGACUGGCCGACCAGGCAGAAGAUCUGUCUUGGCAUAGCCAGGGGGUUAGCUUUUCUUCAUGAAGAAUCAAGAUUCAAAAUUGUUCACAGAGACAUCAAAGCUACAAAUGUUCUGCUAGAUAGGGAUUUAAACCCCAAAAUAUCAGAUUUUGGACUAGCUAAGCUUGAUGAGGAGGAUAAAACCCACAUCAGCACUCGCAUUGCUGGAACCAUGUAAGCCUCAUUUCACGUCUCUCAUUUAAAACUGAUAAUUUUGUUAUUGUUUCAGUGUAAUACAAAAUUGAUAAUUUUGACUUCAGAGGAUACAUGGCACCAGAAUAUGCACUCUGGGGCUAUUUGACCUACAAAGCAGAUGUUUACAGUUUUGGGAUCGUGGCCUUGGAAAUUGUUAGUGGGAAAAAUAAUAUGAGUUAUGCUUCAGCUCUGGAGUUCGACUGCACUUGUCUUCUCGAUUGGGUCAGCAACUAACUCAUAUAAUUCACCUUCUGCAUUUUCAUUUCUGUGGUUGUUGUGUCUUCUCUAAUGCUAUGUUUUGGUUUGGGUAGGCCUGUCAUCUUCAGCUAGAUGGAAAGUUAGUGGAGCUAGUGGAUGAAAGGCUAGGAUCAAAAUACAACAAGGAAGAAGCAGAAAGGAUGAUCAAAGUAUCUCUUUUGUGCACAAAUGCUUCGCCGUCACUAAGGCCAACAAUGUCGGAAGUGGUGAACAUGCUGGAAGGAAAAACUGCCAUACCAGAUAUGAUACCAGAAGCUGGAAGUUAUAGUCAAGAUUUGAGGUUCAAAGCCUUGAGAGACCAAAAGGGGCUGAGGCGUAGUCAGAAUUCGACAGCAACUCAGUCCCAGCAUUCAAUAUCAGCUGAGUUCAAUCAGGCCUCUUCCUCUACUUCGGCUGCCCAAGAUCUCUAUGAAAUUAAUGAGGAGUCAUAUAAGAAGUAUAAAGUCAUUAGAGACGGUUAUAAGCUGAUCCAAGGCAUGAAUUCAGAGGUACAGCUUUCAACGACUAUGCCCUCAUGAACUGCCUAUGAUCUUUACAACCAUAAUUCAUCGAGUUCCUAGAAACAUACAUCAUUUUUGGUGUUGUCAAUUCCGCAGUUCCUUUUUCAUUUUUUGAAAAUAUGUGUGUAUAUACACAUCUAUGUUAUUGUGCAUUUUGUUACCUUGGUGACUGUAAGAUUACAAACUAACUAUACAUUUGGAGUCCACAAAACAAAUGUGAAAAGAACAACUUUGAUGAUUGCUGGCUUCCUCAAUAAUUUUAGAGGCGCACGCAACCAUUUCCAAUCUGAUUGGCCCUAGCUGGCUGCCAUGUCUAGCGGCUCACAUCCGUCCUGCUUUUGAAAAACAGCAGCGAUGAAUGUAUAAAAAUUAGUUAAAAAAAUAGCACCUCACUAUUAAAAGAUAAAAGAAAUUCACUAUAAAAUUAAAAAAAUAUAUUAUGUUACAAGAUAUGUUUUGGAGUCUCCCAUGCUAUUCGUGCUCAAUUUCGAUACGAACGCUACUAUUCCUAUUAAAAACCUAUAAUGUCAAAUUGGGCUUAAAAUAUCUAAUUUGACCAUUCUACAUAAGAUCUAUUACUCAUCCACAUUUUAAUCUUAUAACUCUAAAACAAAUAAUAUAAUUUUCUGAAUCAAUAUCAAAUUGACAGUUUGACACUAACUAUUCAUAUAUUUGAGCUAUCAAUGAUCAAUGAGUGUCCAAACGAUUCACUUCGCUCCAUUCUACAGCAGCGAAGGAAUCUGAAACCUUAUCAUUGAUUUGACAAAUGCAAUAACCGGCCCUUUCUGUUAGAGUUACUAUCAUUAGUCAUACAAAAUGUUAAACGUUGAUUCCUAUUAAAAAAAAGAAAAAAAGUAAAGGUAUUCGUAUUGCAUGCUCAUGCAUGCACGGAAAGGUGAAUUGAAAGUAAUUAAGAUGGCUGUUUAAUCUUCACUUUUCAACAUUUUGACUAAAGAAAUAUUGGAUGUGCGUGCAUACAGCAUAUUUUAUUUAUGGAGCUGCAUAAUAUUCUAACCUUUUCUACUGUGUAAAUCAAAAAGUAAGGACAAAGGAGAAGAGAACGAUUGGAUGACGUUGGCUGCUAGAGGCAGAAAGAGAGCUGCUCUGCUCAAGGCAUAUUUUGGGUACAAACUUGAAUACAGAUUCCUAUUUUGGGUUUUGCGAAAAUGCUCUUCUUCUUCAAACGUUUUCUACUUCCUGUGCUGGUUAUGAGUUGCUUUUGGGCUCAAAUUUUUGCUGCUGCUAAACUGCCUCGACAUGAAGGUAAGUUCAAAUUUUUGCAAUUUUAGUACAGAUUUUCACUUUUACCAAGUAGGAUCUACUUCGAUUAGUAGGUUUUGAUUGUGUUGGCAGUUGGUUUGAUCCUAUCUCUGAAUAAUUACUUUAUCAAGAUAGUAAAAACCCAGAAUCUCAAAUAUUCUUUUAAAAGCAUUAUUAGCAGAUUUUUUUUUUUUUUAACUUUUAAAUUUUCUGAUGAUGAUGAUGAAAAUGCAGUUGAUGUUCUCAAUCAGAUAGCUCAAACAAUGGGAGCCACUAACUGGACUUUCGGUUCUGAUGCUUGUGAAGAUCACGUCACUAUAAAACAGAUUGUAUUAACAGAUCCUUUGAGAAACAUAACCUGCAACUGCCAAUUUCAGAAUGAAACCUGCCACAUUAUUGCCAUGUAAGUUAGUUGCCUUGAUUCUCUCACGAAUUAGAUGAAAGUAUUUGUAGCAUUCUUUCAAAGAGGAAUCUUGGUCACACAGUGUCAAUUUUUAAUGUAGUAACAAAAAAGUCUGAAAAUUGCUAUUGCCCAUUAAUGGAGUGUGAAAAGUGCUGUUUUUGCGAAAAGGAAAUUUCUUUUCCCAUAAAAUAAUCUGGUUUUGCUUUACUUUUUCGCGGAAUUCAUGCGUUUCAGCCUUCGAGGAACUCUCCCACCUCAAAUUGUCAAUCUUCCUUACCUCGAAAAUGUGUAAGAUUGUACACAACUUUCAGCAAUGCAUAUUUAUUCUAAUUUUAUUGUUCGCUAAUUUUUUAUGCAUUUGGGAUUGAUACCCAAUUUUGUUGAGAGGGUUUCUGUGAAUGCUUGUGAAAGAACUUUAAAAGCACUUGCUGAUGCUUCUCCAUAAAGCAUUUCCAGUACAUUUUUGACCCUCUAAGCAUUUUCUAGAAAUCAUCUACAAGUGCUUCCUCACAAGGAAUUUUGCAUUUUUGUUUAUUUUAGACUAAUGCUACCAAAAAAUAGACCCAUGCCAAAAAUGUAACUAAAUGCACCCCUAUUAGUCUACUGCAUUAUGAAUAUCUUCGUUUCCUUCUUUCUUUUACAGACCAAUUUGUAAAUUUGAUUGAUAUUGUUGUGGAAUGCAGUGAUUUUGCUUACAACUAUCUGCAUGGUUCGAUACCACGUGAAUGGGCCUCGAUGCAACUGAAGUAUAUGUAAGCUAUAUCUACAUCUUUCAAUCGGUCGAGAAAAUAAAAUUUUGUUUGUCUCACUGAAUUAACCAUAUUGGAAUUGUCCAUGCAGCUCUGUUUUUGCAAACCGAUUGUCAGGCAAUAUUCCAAGCCAUUUGGGGAACAUUACUAGUCUCACACUUGUCUCUCUUAAUUUGGACAGGUUUUAUGAAAGAGUCGGAUCUCCAAACAAUUUCUUUUACCUUAAAACAAAUUAAAGCUGCAACUAACAAUUUUGAUUCUGCAAAGAAGAUUGGAGAAGGUGGAUUUGGACCUGUGUACAAGGUAUAUUGGCCAACCUUUUGCCCCUAAUCAUCCUCUUAACACAAAAUUUCCUUCAAUGGUUACUUAAAAUUUGUACAUUUCUUUUUUCGUAACUGGGAUGCAGGGUCAACUAGCAGAUGGUACUAUAAUUGCUGUGAAGCAGCUCUCUUCAAAAUCAAGGCAGGGGAAUCGUGAAUUCUUAAAUGAGAUAGCCAUGAUUUCGUGUUUGCAACACCCAAAUCUUGUUAAAAUUCAUGGCUGUUGUGUUGAAGGGGAUCAACUCUUGCUAGUAUACGAAUACAUGGAAAACAACAGCCUUGCCCAUGCUUUAUUCGGUAAGUGUAAUCUAUUAUUGAUUGCUUGAUUGAUUAUGUGAGAGGAAAAUAAAAUAGUAACUUAGAAACACUAUACAAGUUAUAUAACAAUCUAUUAUUCUCCCUAGUAAUAUCUCUUGGAAUGGUCAUGUUAAGGUGGUGAAAACAGUCGACUGAAAUUGAACUGGUCAGUGAGGCAGAAGAUCUGCCUUGGGAUAGCCAGAGGUUUAGCUUUUCUACAUGAAGAAUCCAGAUUCAAGAUAGUUCAUAGAGACAUCAAAGCUACGAAUGUUCUGCUAGAUAGAGAUUUAAACCCCAAAAUAUCUGACUUUGGACUGGCUAAGCUUGAUGAGGAGGAGAAAACUCACAUCAGUACUCGAGUUGCUGGAACAAUGUAAGCUACAUGUCUCUCUUUUCAAUGACAUUUUGUCACUGUUUUAACAUCAAAACUCAUGAUAAUUUGAUAUGCAGAGGAUAUAUGGCACCCGAGUACGCUCUAUGGGGUUACCUGACCUACAAAGCAGAUGUUUACAGUUUCGGAGUUGUGGCUUUGGAAAUUGUCAGUGGGAAGUAUAAUAUGAGUUAUGUGCCAGACAGUAAUUGCAGCUGUCUUCUUGACUGGGUAUGAGAUUAACUAAAUUUUUAUUCUUUAGGAGUACAUGUAACUCCAUUUUAGUGGGGACAUGUUUGUUUGUUUGUUAUUUAUUUAUUUGGGACAACAGUUGUGGCAUGAGUUUAAAUCCAAUAAAUGUAGAUUUUUUAACAUAAUUGUCUCGGUUAUGUAUUUCCCUGGCCUUCCAUUUACAUCGAAGUGGUACGUUAAUGGAGUUAGUGGAUCCAAGGCUCGGAUCAGAAUUCAACAAGGUUGAAGCAGAGAAAAUGAUUAAAGUAGCACUCUUGUGCACCAAUGUGUCACCUUCACUAAGGCCAACCAUGUCUGAAGUGGUAAGCAUGCUGGAAGGAUCUUCUAACAUUCCGGAUGUAAUCCCUGAAGCCGGUGGUUUGAGUGAAGACUUGAGGUUUAAAACUCUAAGAGACCAUCCAAGAGAAAUGAAUAGUUCGGGUUUGGAAGGAAGUCUGUCUCGUUAUUCAUCGUCAGCCAGCUUCUUGCCUGGUUCUUCCAGCUUCUUGCAUGGUUCUUCCCCUACCGAUGAUGUCCGUGAAAUUAAUGCAGAGGCAUAUUUGAAGUUUAAGGCCAUGAGAGACAGUCAUAUUCAUAUGGAAAGACAAAGUUCGGUUGCCCAAGUAUCAACACCGGUCCCCUCAUGGACUGGCUCUUCAAAAUCUGCCCAUGAUCUUCACAACACAAUUCGAGUUCAGCGGAUGUGCAAAAUCAUCCGCCAGCUAGUUUCAAGUUUCAACAUUCAACUUUUUUGUAACCUACGUCUAUGUGUCAUACCUUCUCGCAUCAUCUUUGUAUCUAAAAUUUUCAGCAAGUACGUACUAUAGAAGUCAUGUUUGUGUGUUUGGAGGAAAGAGUUACCAUUUUUCUGGAGUUGUUGAAAUUACGUGGUUUUAAGGUUGAUGCGAAAACCCAUAGUUUUGGGGAAAAAAAGGAAAGAUAGCAGAACGCCACGUGUCAACGAAUGGA
Molecule: long non-coding RNA, 16641 nt
Filed under: Citrus x clementina
Lineage: Eukaryota; Viridiplantae; Streptophyta; Magnoliopsida; Sapindales; Rutaceae
Description: Citrus clementina (C. clementina) long non-coding RNA (CCLE_LNC005749)
Source: RNAcentral